Schistocerca serialis cubense is the source of this 319-nucleotide long non-coding RNA. RefSeq lists it as uncharacterized. The transcript is spliced from 3 exons. The record is from RefSeq and is a predicted model, not a curated record. NCBI's taxonomy places the organism in Eukaryota, Metazoa, Arthropoda, Insecta, Orthoptera, Acrididae.
UGUAGGCGAGAGGUAUACACAGACACCGCAGCGGGGAAACACAUGGUUAGUGAAGUCGCGAUGCAGCAUUUUCGUCAGGCGAGGAGCGUCUGGCGGAGCUCGAUGCUGGGCGUCAAGGACGGCACUGGCUGUUGGCACACUGCACGCCGUCCCCGAUGAUGGACGUGGCGUUCGCCGCCACGACUAUGGACACCUACGAAGACAUGUUCAAGGAGAUAACCCGCAAGCUGUACGGCGAGGAGGCGGACGUGGAGACGGGCGGCAACGGGAGCGGCGGAGGCGGAGGCGGGGGCGGGGGCGGCAGCGGCGGGGUCGGCUC